CAGAGGGUAGUUUAAUUAAAAUAUUAAUUUUGGAGAUUAAUGAUAAAAGAUGUUUUCUCUCUGA
Molecule: transfer RNA, 64 nt
Filed under: Manticora tibialis
Lineage: Eukaryota; Metazoa; Arthropoda; Insecta; Coleoptera; Carabidae
Description: tRNA-Pro
Source: RNAcentral